Molecule: long non-coding RNA, 1074 nt
Organism: Cotesia glomerata
Lineage: Eukaryota; Metazoa; Arthropoda; Insecta; Hymenoptera; Braconidae
Exons: 2
Source: RefSeq, a predicted model, not a curated record
AGUACAAAUAUCAAGUAGUAAGUAGUAGGUAGAGUCAGGAUUUUUUCCCCUACAUGGGCGCGGACAACUUAUGCCCCGCCUUCAAACGUCCGCCUUCUUGGUCUCUUCCCCCACUUAUUUUCGUUUGUUAAACUCUUAUCUUACUUUUUAUUAAAUUCCCCACUCUUUGAUGUAAGAUGAGUAUGUAAAGGUGUAUGUAGUUGACUACGAGGCUUCCAUUUCCCCAUUUAAUGUUGAGGCUGUCGAUGUCGAUGUCGAUGUGAAUGUCGACGGUACUUGGCACUUGUGAGGUUAAGGGGCUUACGGGGGUAAAACGCCUAAAGAAGCUGACAGAGGAAAAGAGGGGAAUAAUCGAAGAAAUAAGGGGUUGAAUAAAACGAGUAGGACAAAGGCAAGUAGAGUGAAGCAUGCCGAGAUGUGAAACAUUAGUGUACCGUUUGUUAACACCGCAGUCUACACACAACCAUGCCGUUUUACUUGCACACACAACAAACUGUCGUGCUUAAACUAAACCCAAACUCUCCUUACAAAUACAUAUACAUAUAUAUAUAUAUAUAUAUAUAUAUAUAUAUACUCUCACUCUUACUCUAACUAUAUACUCAACAUUUCUUGCUAUUGCAGUUUGGAUAGUAGGAGGUAAGAGUAUUGGUCGAUGUAGACGCUUGUACACUUACACGCUCCUGUCCUACCAGAAACCUUAAAUAUAUAUAUAUAUAUAUAUAUACAAUUUACAAUAUGAGGAGGAAGAGGAGGAGAAGAAGAUGUGGUAAACGUGUUUGUUGGAACUUGAUCGUUUUGAGACUAUUUGGAGGUUUAUAUCCAAGUACACACAAGGAUCUUGAGAUUGACAGUACUUAAAGUUUUACUACCAAAACAACAAAAUAUAAUAGGGAAAGAAAAAUUAAAAGACGAAUAGAGGGAUAGAGGGAUAGAAUUUUAUCGAUAAAAACUUGUCGUUGUACAAACUAAACUGUUUUUUUGAACCAUAUAUACACUGUAUAUGUGUAGAAGAGUAUACAGCACUAGCGAAUGAACGAUUGUAAGAAGAAAAAGAAGAAGAAGAAGAAGAAGAAG